GACGAACGCUGGCGGCGUGCUUAACACAUGCAAGUCGAACGGAAAGGCCCUGCUUUUGUGGGGUGCUCGAGUGGCGAACGGGUGAGUAACACGUGAGUAACCUGCCCUUGACUUUGGGAUAACUUCAGGAAACUGGGGCUAAUACCGGAGAGGAGCUCCUGCUGCAUGGUGGGGGUUGGAAAGUUUCGGCGGUUGGGGAUGGACUGGCGGCUUAUCAGCUUGUUGGUGGGGUAGUGGCUUACCAAGGCUUUGACGGGUAGCCGGCCUGGGAGGGUGGCCGGCCACAUUGGGCCUGAGGUACGGCCCAGACUCCUACGGGAGGCAGCAGUGGGGAAUAUUGCACAAUGGGCGGAAGCCUGAUGCAGCAACGCCGCGUGCGGGAUGAAGGCCUUCGGGUUGUAAACCGCUUUCGCCUGUGACGAAGCGUGAGUGACGGUAAUGGGUAAAGAAGCACCGGCUAACUACGUG
This 468-nucleotide ribosomal RNA is filed under the name uncultured bacterium. RNAcentral's name for it is "partial 16S ribosomal RNA". It matches the Rfam family "Bacterial small subunit ribosomal RNA", at positions 28 to 507 of the family's 1533-position model. The record is from RNAcentral.